RNAcentral lists this ribosomal RNA (1125 nucleotides) under Escherichia coli. RNAcentral describes it as "partial 23S ribosomal RNA". It matches the Rfam family "Bacterial large subunit ribosomal RNA", at positions 612 to 1739 of the family's 2925-position model. Lineage: Bacteria; Pseudomonadati; Pseudomonadota; Gammaproteobacteria; Enterobacterales; Enterobacteriaceae. The record is from RNAcentral.
AUAAUGGGUCAGCGACUUAUAUUCUGUAGCAAGGUUAACCGAAUAGGGGAGCCGAAGGGAAACCGAGUCUUAACUGGGCGUUAAGUUGCAGGGUAUAGACCCGAAACCCGGUGAUCUAGCCAUGGGCAGGUUGAAGGUUGGGUAACACUAACUGGAGGACCGAACCGACUAAUGUUGAAAAAUUAGCGGAUGACUUGUGGCUGGGGGUGAAAGGCCAAUCAAACCGGGAGAUAGCUGGUUCUCCCCGAAAGCUAUUUAGGUAGCGCCUCGUGAAUUCAUCUCCGGGGGUAGAGCACUGUUUCGGCAAGGGGGUCAUCCCGACUUACCAACCCGAUGCAAACUGCGAAUACCGGAGAAUGUUAUCACGGGAGACACACGGCGGGUGCUAACGUCCGUCGUGAAGAGGGAAACAACCCAGACCGCCAGCUAAGGUCCCAAAGUCAUGGUUAAGUGGGAAACGAUGUGGGAAGGCCCAGACAGCCAGGAUGUUGGCUUAGAAGCAGCCAUCAUUUAAAGAAAGCGUAAUAGCUCACUGGUCGAGUCGGCCUGCGCGGAAGAUGUAACGGGGCUAAACCAUGCACCGAAGCUGCGGCAGCGACGCUUAUGCGUUGUUGGGUAGGGGAGCGUUCUGUAAGCCUGCGAAGGUGUGCUGUGAGGCAUGCUGGAGGUAUCAGAAGUGCGAAUGCUGACAUAAGUAACGAUAAAGCGGGUGAAAAGCCCGCUCGCCGGAAGACCAAGGGUUCCUGUCCAACGUUAAUCGGGGCAGGGUGAGUCGACCCCUAAGGCGAGGCCGAAAGGCGUAGUCGAUGGGAAACAGGUUAAUAUUCCUGUACUUGGUGUUACUGCGAAGGGGGGACGGAGAAGGCUAUGUUGGCCGGGCGACGGUUGUCCCGGUUUAAGCGUGUAGGCUGGUUUUCCAGGCAAAUCCGGAAAAUCAAGGCUGAGGCGUGAUGACGAGGCACUACGGUGCUGAAGCAACAAAUGCCCUGCUUCCAGGAAAAGCCUCUAAGCAUCAGGUAACAUCAAAUCGUACCCCAAACCGACACAGGUGGUCAGGUAGAGAAUACCAAGGCGCUUGAGAGAACUCGGGUGAAGGAACUAGGCAAAAUGGUGCCGUAACUUCGG